RNAcentral lists this ribosomal RNA (1208 nucleotides) under Stutzerimonas stutzeri. RNAcentral describes it as "bacterial LSU rRNA". It matches the Rfam family "Bacterial large subunit ribosomal RNA", at positions 1280 to 2473 of the family's 2925-position model. The record is from RNAcentral. Lineage: Bacteria; Pseudomonadati; Pseudomonadota; Gammaproteobacteria; Pseudomonadales; Pseudomonadaceae.
UAUCAGAAGUGCGAAUGCUGACAUGAGUAACGACAAUGCGAGUGAAAAACUCGCACGCCGAAAGACCAAGGGUUCCUGCGCAACGUUAAUCGACGCAGGGUGAGUCGGUCCCUAAGGCGAGGCUGAAAAGCGUAGUCGAUGGGAAACGGGUUAAUAUUCCCGUACUUCUGGUUACUGCGAUGGGGGGACGGAGAAGGCUAGGCCAGCUUGGCGUUGGUUGUCCAAGUUUAAGGCGGUAGACAGGGAUCUUAGGUAAAUCCGGGAUCUCAAUGUCGAGAGCUGAUGACGAGCUUUCUUUUAGAAAGCGAAGUGGUUGAUGCCAUGCUUCCAGGAAAAGCCUCUAAGCUUCAGGUAAUCAGGAACCGUACCCCAAACCGACACAGGUGGUCGGGUAGAGAAUACCAAGGCGCUUGAGAGAACUCGGGUGAAGGAACUAGGCAAAAUGGCACCGUAACUUCGGGAGAAGGUGCGCCGGUGAGGGUGAAUGACUUGCUCAGUAAGCUCAUGCCGGUCGAAGAUACCAGGCCGCUGCGACUGUUUAUUAAAAACACAGCACUCUGCAAACACGAAAGUGGACGUAUAGGGUGUGACGCCUGCCCGGUGCCGGAAGGUUAAUUGAUGGGGUUAGCGCAAGCGAAGCUCUUGAUCGAAGCCCCGGUAAACGGCGGCCGUAACAAUAACGGUCCUAAGGUAGCGAAAUUCCUUGUCGGGUAAGUUCCGACCUGCACGAAUGGCGUAACGAUGGCGGCGCUGUCUCCACCCGAGACUCAGUGAAAUUGAAAUCGCUGUGAAGAUGCAGUGUAUCCGCGGCUAGACGGAAAGACCCCGUGAACCUUUACUGUAGCUUUGCACUGGACUUUGAGCCUGCUUGUGUAGGAUAGGUGGGAGGCUUUGAAGCGUGGACGCCAGUUCGCGUGGAGCCAUCCUUGAAAUACCACCCUGGCAUGCUUGAGGUUCUAACUCUGGUCCGUCAUCCGGAUCGAGGACAGUGUAUGGUGGGCAGUUUGACUGGGGCGGUCUCCUCCUAAAGAGUAACGGAGGAGUACGAAGGUGCGCUCAGACCGGUCGGAAAUCGGUCGCAGAGUAUAAAGGCAAAAGCGCGCUUGACUGCGAGACAGACACGUCGAGCAGGUACGAAAGUAGGUCUUAGUGAUCCGGUGGUUCUGUAUGGAAGGGCCAUCGCUCAACGGAUAAAAGGUACUCCGGGG